This 487-nucleotide ribosomal RNA is filed under the name Bacillus sp. SC16. Its description in RNAcentral is "bacterial SSU rRNA". It matches the Rfam family "Bacterial small subunit ribosomal RNA", at positions 29 to 497 of the family's 1533-position model. The record is from RNAcentral. Lineage: Bacteria; Bacillati; Bacillota; Bacilli; Caryophanales; Bacillaceae.
ACGAACGCUGGCGGCGUGCCUAAUACAUGCAAGUCGAGCGGACCGACGGGAGCUUGCUCCCUUAGGUCAGCGGCGGACGGGUGAGUAACACGUGGGUAACCUGCCUGUAAGACUGGGAUAACUCCGGGAAACCGGGGCUAAUACCGGAUGCUUGAUUGAACCGCAUGGUUCAAUCAUAAAAGGUGGCUUUUAGCUACCACUURCAGAUGGACCCGCGGCGCAUUAGCUAGUUGGUGAGGUAACGGCUCACCAAGGCGACGAUGCGUAGCCGACCUGAGAGGGUGAUCGGCCACACUGGGACUGAGACACGGCCCAGACUCCUACGGGAGGCAGCAGUAGGGAAUCUUCCGCAAUGGACGAAAGUCUGACGGAGCAACGCCGCGUGAGUGAUGAAGGUUUUCGGAUCGUAAAACUCUGUUGUUAGGGAAGAACAAGUACCGUUCGAAUAGGGCGGYACCUUGACGGUACCUAACCAGAAAGCCRCGGC